This 465-nucleotide ribosomal RNA is filed under the name Vreelandella stevensii. RNAcentral describes it as "partial 16S ribosomal RNA". It matches the Rfam family "Bacterial small subunit ribosomal RNA", at positions 338 to 795 of the family's 1533-position model. The record is from RNAcentral. Lineage: Bacteria; Pseudomonadati; Pseudomonadota; Gammaproteobacteria; Oceanospirillales; Halomonadaceae.
CCUACGGGGGGCAGCAGUGGGGAAUAUUGGACAAUGGGCGAAAGCCUGAUCCAGCCAUGCCGCGUGUGUGAAGAAGGCCUUCGGGUUGUAAAGCACUUUCAGUGGGGAAGAAAGCCUUGGGGCUAAUACCCUCGAGGAAGGACAUCACCCACAGAAGAAGCACCGGCUAACUCCGUGCCAGCAGCCGCGGUAAUACGGAGGGUGCGAGCGUUAAUCGGAAUUACUGGGCGUAAAGCGCGCGUAGGCGGUCUGAUAAGCCGGUUGUGAAAGCCCCGGGCUCAACCUGGGAACGGCAUCCGGAACUGUCAGGCUAGAGUGCAGGAGAGGAAGGUAGAAUUCCCGGUGUAGCGGUGAAAUGCGUAGAGAUCGGGAGGAAUACCAGAGGCGAAGGCGGCCUUCUGGACUGACACUGACGCUGAGGUGCGAAAGCGUGGGUAGCAAACAGGAUUAGAUACCCUGGUAGUC